RNAcentral lists this ribosomal RNA (525 nucleotides) under uncultured bacterium. RNAcentral's name for it is "bacterial SSU rRNA". It matches the Rfam family "Bacterial small subunit ribosomal RNA", at positions 984 to 1509 of the family's 1533-position model. The record is from RNAcentral.
ACAUCCAGAGAACUUAGCAGAGAUGCUUUGGUGCCUUCGGGAACUCUGAGACAGGUGCUGCAUGGCUGUCGUCAGCUCGUGUUGUGAAAUGUUGGGUUAAGUCCCGNAACGAGCGCAACCCUUAUCCUUUGUUGCCAGCGGUUCGGCCGGGAACUCAAAGGAGACUGCCGGUGAUAAACCGGAGGAAGGUGGGGAUGAUGUCAAGUCAUCAUGGCCCUUACGGCCAGGGCUACACACGUGCUACAAUGGCGCAUACAAAGAGAAGCGACCUCGCGAGAGCAAGCGGACCUCAUAAAGUGCGUCGUAGUCCGGAUUGGAGUCUGCAACUCGACUCCAUGAAGUCGGAAUCGCUAGUAAUCGUAGAUCAGAAUGCUACGGUGAAUACGUUCCCGGGCCUUGUACACACCGCCCGUCACACCAUGGGAGUGGGUUGCAAAAGAAGUAGGUAGCUUAACCUUCGGGAGGGCGCUUACCACUUUGUGAUUCAUGACUGGGGUGAAGUCGUAACAAGGUAGGCGUAGACGU